UACAGAGGUCCCAAGCGUUGUUCGGAUUCACUGGGCGUAAAGGGUGCGUAGGCGGUCGGGUAAGUCUGAUGUGAAAUCUCACAGCUUAACUGUGAAACUGCAUUGGAUACUAUCCGGCUCGAGGAAUGGAGGGGAGACUGGAAUACUUGGUGUAGCAGUGAAAUGCGUGGAUAUCAAGUGGAACACCAGUGGCGAAGGCGAGUCUCUGGACAUUUCCUGACGCUGAGGCACGAAAGCCAGGGGAGCAAACGGG
RNAcentral lists this ribosomal RNA (253 nucleotides) under uncultured bacterium. RNAcentral describes it as "partial 16S ribosomal RNA". It matches the Rfam family "Bacterial small subunit ribosomal RNA", at positions 524 to 776 of the family's 1533-position model. The record is from RNAcentral.